GACGAACGCUGGCGGCGUGCCUAACACAUGCAAGUCGAACGGAAAGGCCCUGCGCUUGUGCGGUGCUCGAGUGGCGAACGGGUGGGUAACACGUGAGUAACCUGCCCUUGACGUUGGGAUAACUUCAGGAAACAGGGGCUAAUACCGGGGAGGAGCUCCUGCAGCAUGGGGGGGCUUGGAAAGUUUCGGCGGUUGUGGAUCGACUCGCUGCUUAGGAGCGUGUGUGUGGGGUAGUGGCUUACCACGGCUUUGACGGGUAGCCGGCAUGGGAGGGUGACCGGCCACAUUGGGACUGCGAUAGGGCCCCGACUCCUACGGGAGGCAGCAGUGGGGAUUAUUGCACAAUGGGCGGAAGCCUGAUGCAGCAACGCCGCGUGCGGGAUGACGGCCUUCGGGUUGUAAACCGCUUUCGCCUGUGACGCAGCGUGAGUGACGGUAAUGAGUAAAGAAGCACCGGCUAACUACGUG
This 468-nucleotide ribosomal RNA is filed under the name uncultured bacterium. RNAcentral's name for it is "partial 16S ribosomal RNA". It matches the Rfam family "Bacterial small subunit ribosomal RNA", at positions 28 to 507 of the family's 1533-position model. The record is from RNAcentral.